This 71-nucleotide transfer RNA is filed under the name Camelus bactrianus (Bactrian camel). It matches the Rfam family "tRNA". From Rfam's summary of the family: Transfer RNA (tRNA) molecules are approximately 80 nucleotides in length. The record is from Rfam by way of RNAcentral. Lineage: Eukaryota; Metazoa; Chordata; Mammalia; Artiodactyla; Camelidae. RNAcentral also lists the same sequence under 3 other names.
GAGGGUAUAGCUUAGUGGUAGAGUGUGUGCCUAGCAUGCGCAAGGUCCUGGGUUCAAUCCCCAGUCCCUCU